This 312-nucleotide long non-coding RNA is filed under the name Elaeis guineensis (African oil palm). RNAcentral describes it as "long non-coding RNA (EGUI_LNC078707)". Lineage: Eukaryota; Viridiplantae; Streptophyta; Magnoliopsida; Arecales; Arecaceae. The record is from RNAcentral.
GCAAAUCCCAUCCGAGCCUCCGCUGUAAACAUAUUCCUUCCGAACUUCCAUUACAGGUAGACUUCAGUUGAGCUUCUUCGUAGUCGGGUCCCACGACAACUGACCUUCGAUCGAGCUUUCACAAUAAGCGGUCUCCUUUCAGCCUUCUACAAGAACCAGACUUCGACCGAACUUCUAUAGCGGUUGGAUAUUGGAUGAGCUUCUACGAUGAUCGGGCUCCGACAGUUGGAUUCCUACAACGAUUGAUCGCCUCCGAUGUCUGCCGAACCUUCCCAACGCCAUCCGAAGUCUAUCACCAGCCGACCCUCCACC